This 421-nucleotide ribosomal RNA is filed under the name uncultured bacterium. RNAcentral's name for it is "bacterial SSU rRNA". It matches the Rfam family "Bacterial small subunit ribosomal RNA", at positions 360 to 773 of the family's 1533-position model. The record is from RNAcentral.
AAUUGUUCACAAUGGGCGCAAGCCUGAUGACGCAAUGCCGCGUGGAGGAUGAAGGUCUUCGGAUUGUAAACUCCUGUUGCCAGGGACGAAUGGCUCCGACCUAAUACGUCGGAGAAUGACGGUACCUGGUGAGGAAGCCCCGGCUAACUCUGUGCCAGCAGCCGCGGUAAUACGUAGGGUCCGAGCGUUGUCCGGAUUCAUUGGGCGUAAAGAGCUCGUAGGCGGCUCAGUAAGUCGGAUGUGAAAACUCAGGGCUCAACCCGGAGACGCCAUCCGAUACUGCUGUGGCUGGAGUCUGGUAGGGGAACACGGAAUACCUGGUGUAGCGGUGAAAUGCGCAGAUAUCAGGUGGAACACCGAUGGCGAAGGCAGUGUUCUGGGCCAGUACUGACGCUGAGGAGCGAAAGCGUGGGGAGCAAAC